This is a non-coding RNA of Physcomitrium patens, 4423 nucleotides long. The record is from RefSeq and is a predicted model, not a curated record. NCBI's taxonomy places the organism in Eukaryota, Viridiplantae, Streptophyta, Bryopsida, Funariales, Funariaceae.
UUAGGAGGCGACUGACCAAAAACUUUAGGAGGACAAGUUGGUGGUCUUGCUCUUCUAUUGGAAAUGUGCAUGGCGAGAUAUCAAAGUUGGGACUGUGCUCGGAGGAAGAGCUAAUUCAGUUUGCGGUACAUGGCUCUUUUUUAAUUGAGAGUUCUUAACCCUAUCCGCCCCGCCAUGUCCUCAAACAUUGUCUUUUUUAUUGGCUUAGUAAAAAUGUCAGCCUGCUGGAGAUCCAUGGGCGUGAAAAUCACCACUAUGGUUCCUGCGGCAUUUUUUACUCUAAUAAAGUGAUGUUGCAAUUCUAUGUGUUUUGUGCGUGAGUGUAGGACCGGAUUCUUGAUGAGUUUGACUGCCCUGAGGUUGUCGCAUUAGAGUGUAGUUGAGUCUUGUUGUGUUAUUUUGAGAUCUUGAAGCAACCUUCUUGUCCACGUUAUUUCCUUCGCAGCGUCGGUGAGGGCACGGUACUCAGCCUCGGUUGUCGAUAUUGCAACAGUUGGCCGAAGAUUAUUCUUUUAAGAAAUAGGGGCCUCUCUAAGCGUCAAUAGCAUCCUUGAAGUAGACUUGGGCCCUUCCGGAUCACGCACCCAGUCAGAAUUUGCAAACGCUUGUAGGAUGAGGUUAUUGAUGCUCGGGAAGAGGAUACCAUGGGUCGUUGUGCCUCGGAUGUAGCACAAGUCCUUUUUUGCCGCUUCCACGUGAAUUGCGAGAGGUGAGGUCAUGAAACAAAUCAACAUAGAAACAGAGUAGGAGAGUUUGCGCCGAGAAUGGGUGAAGAAGAUGAGGCUGCCCACGAGGCUCUAGUAUGCAUGUUUGUCCGUCUCGAGUGAAUUCAUGCAAGAUUGGAGCUUUGUGUCAUUUCCCUAUGGCGUGAGCAAAGAAUUAUAAGCGCCUAUGUUGUUUUUAGUGAGGAGCUGUCCUGCAUAUUGUCCUUGUGAAACAAAAAUGCCCUCGGUUGUGUAUUAAAAUUUGAGUCCAAUGUAGAGCAAGAAGGUGCCGAGCGCAGAUACUUGAUACUUUGUCUGUAGUGAGGUUUCAAAUUGUUGGAGUUCGUUGGUUGCGUCUCCAAUAAGCAUGAUGUCGUCGACAUACAAUGUGAGGAUUAUGUACCAAUUUGUUUCUGUCACUAUGGUAUACAAGUUGUGGUCGUGUUCGCUCUGCUCUAGGCCGAUGCUGAGCAGAAUUGUAUCGAUGUCAAUGUAGCAUGAUUUGCCUGAUUGUUUUAGGCCAUAAAGCACCUAUUGUAGCCUACAGAAGUUGCGUUUUGAACUUCUCCGUUUGUCCAUCUGCAAAAAUUUUGGUGCGAAAUACCUAUUUCGACGUGACUGGGCGCUUACCUACUCGAAGUGGUUUCAGGGACCAUGUGCCGUUGAAGAUUAAGGAAUCAUAAUCUUCUUUCAUCGCCUGGCGCCAACCGGGGUGUUGAUUUGCCAACUCGAAAUCCUUUGGUUCUGGCGUUGGUGCAAGGACAAAAACAUAGUCUUUAGUUGUGAUGGGUGCGCUCCAAAGGCGGGUCAAUUUUUGUAUUGCUACAGGGUGUUGCUGGUUGCGCAUGUCCAUUCGAGUAGUGUUGAUUGAGGAAGAGGCAGUUGCUGGUUCAAUGUCGAUUGGAGGUUCCAUUAUAUGCUGGCGUGUUUUGCUUCUUUCUUGCAAAGGGGGAUCUUUUUUGCAUUGUUGUUGACUAACUUGUUCUUCAGCUGAGGUGAAUUUGGUUGGUUCUGCAACUAUCGUCUGGUCGUCGCUGUUAGUGAACUUUAGGGAGUAGAUGAUGUCCUGGAUCGAUGGUACUGUUGUUUGUGAAUGUCAGAUCAUUGCCAUCUCAGAUUCGUCAAAGAAUGCAUCCUUGGUUAUGACGAUCUUUUGCUUGUUGAGGUGGUAAAGCCGGUAAGCCUUCAAUGCCAGGUCAUAGUCGGCCAUGAUGCAUAGGUCUCCGCACGGGUCCAACUUGGUUUUAUCGUCCUUUCAAACGUGUGCAUACGCUGUGCAGCCAAAAACUUUGAGGUGGAUAAUGUUAAUCGGCUUACUUGUGUAUUUGUGAAAGGGUGCUUUGUCGUUGUUUGACUUUGUGAGAGUAAUGUUGACAAGAUACGUUACGGUGCCAAUGACUUCCGGCUAGAGGACAACGAGUAGAUGUGCGACUAUUGCCAUCGUGUAAGUUUUAUCAAGGAAUGUUUGGUUCAUCCGUUCCACUACCCCGUUUUGGUGAGGGAUGUGUGGGGCGGUGAGCUGUCUUUGUAUUACUUCUUGUUAGCAGAAUGCCAAAAAAUUUGUUGACAUAAACUCCCCUCCCCUAUCCGUUCUAAGGACUUUGACCUUGCUUUGGCUUCCGUUUUCUAUCUGUGCCCUGAGACUUUUGAAGUUUUUGAAAGUUGAAGUCUUGACUUGGAGAAAGAACACCUAAACCAUUCGGCUGAAAUCAUCGAUUACAAUAAGAAAGUACUGUGGGUCUCCCUGAGAGGUUUGAGUGAAAGGGCCACACAAAUCAACACGGAGUAACUGGUUUUUGGUGGUUGCACGCGUGGAGCUUUCCUUUGUAGCGGGUAAUUUGUGCAGCUUUUCUUUCGCGCGCUUAUGGCAAAAUCAUCUGUCGGAUGGGAUGUGCGGUAUUUCCUUGAUAGAGUGCUUCGUGGAUAGGUCGUGGAGCAAUUGGAAAUCGGGGCACCCAAGUCUUUGGUGCCAUAACAUUGCAGAGUCUUGUUCUACUAGAUGUGCUCCGAUUUGGGGUGGCAUACUUGGUUUGCUUGGUGUUGUGAGUCGAUACAGAUCUGUGAGUGAGUCUCCGAUUCCCUGUGUAACUACUAUUGUUGGCUUUCGUGUUGUCAUGAUGUAGUAGCGGCUUGCUAUUAAGAUCAUAAUACAUACCCUAUUUGUUAUCGUACCAACAGACAAGAGGUUCUUGCGUACUCCAAGCACAUGGAGUACUCCAGGCACUUUUUGGGUUUUGUCUCCACAUUGCACUACUGUUGUCCCCUCUCCUCGCACUUCGUGUUCUUGUCCCGCUAUUGCCUUCACCAUUGUGUGCAUUGUGUUAGUUCGUACAAUGCGGAGGUUGGAUUGGUUUCCAGUGACAUGUACUGUGGCACCGCUAUCCAAAUACCAGUGUGCGUCGUCGCGAUCUAGGUUGAGCGCAAACAUUACUAUGUCGAAAAAGAUUUGUUCGUCCUCCUUUUCUUUGUUUUGUUGUUUUGAUUGUUGCUCUGGGUUCUCGGUUAUGAUGUUGGCUUGGGACCAACUGUGUGCUUGCAGUCGUCUGAUUCUUCUAGGUUGGGGACAUUCCCGAGCGAAAUGACCCCACUUAUGGCAAUUGUUACACUUCCUAUUCUGUGAGGGACCUCGAUAUUGCUGGUUUGCAAAAUCUUGGCGCUUGGAUCGUUCUUCUUUGCAGGUUCUGGAGCAUGAGCGCCUCGCCUUGAUCUUUUGGUCGGUCAUUUCAUCGCUGCUCUUCAUACAGGAGCCUGCUGCACAAGCUCUCAAAGAUAGGGAGUUGAUUUUGUUUGACAAUCGCUUGGAUGAAGCUGUCAUAGCUUAGUGGGAGCGCAUUUAGUGUUAGAUGGAUCAGCCUUGAAUCCUAGAUUUUUUCUCUGGCGGUCUUGAGUUGGAGCGACGUCUCCCCCAUGCGCCAGAUGAGUUCUUUGACAAUUGUUCCUUCCUGCAUCCACAAGCUUGCUCGUCUAGUGGCCGAAGGUCGACGGUGAUUCUGCCGUCUACUGAGCCCAUUUUCGGAUAAUGGAGUGUUGUGUGCUCUUGGACCAAGUGGAAGAUGCUACGCUGGGCGUUGAGAUCACGCAUCAACAUGUCAAAAGUGUGUUGAGAUCACGCAUCAACAUGUCAAAAGUGUGUUCUUGGUCGCUAGAGAAAAUUCUCUUUUGGUGGACUCUCCCUACAAAAAGCUCUACCGUGAUAUUAUAACAGCAGGCACAAACUCAACCAUUGAAGUAGUGGAGUGGGCAAUAACAGAGUGCAUCCACAACCCAGCUGUGAUGAGCAAAGCAUAAGCAGAACUUCACAGGGUUGUAGGCAAGUCCCUGAGAGUGCAUGAGGCAGAGAUUCCCAACCUUCUGUACUUACAAGCCAUCUGCAAGGAAGUGUUUUGCCUACACCCAACCACCCCUCUACUAUACCCCCAUGUGAACCAACAUGCUUGCACAGUGUUUGGGUAUGACAUACUAGCAGGGACAUCCAUGCUUGUGAAUGUGGGGGCCAUAGUGCAAGACCCAAGCAUUUGGGAGGAUCCCUUGGUGUUCAAACCUGAAAGGUUUCUUGAAAGGCAUUCACAUUUGGAUGCUCAGGGCACCACAUUGAGUUGUUGCAGUUUGGAACUGGGUGGCCGCAGUGUCCGGGCAUUGGACUCAGCCUCACCAUGGUGUACAUCUUAACUGCAACUUUGUUGCACUGUUUUGAGUGGUCCCUUCCACAAGACUUGCUA